AUUGAACGCUGGCGGCAGGCCUAACACAUGCAAGUCGAACGGUAGCACAGAGGAGCUUGCUCCUUGGGUGACGAGUGGCGGACGGGUGAGUAAUGUCUGGGAAACUGCCCGAUGGAGGGGGAUAACUACUGGAAACGGUAGCUAAUACCGCAUAACGUCGCAAGACCAAAGAGGGGGACCUUCGGGCCUCUUGCCAUCGGAUGUGCCCAGAUGGGAUUAGCUAGUAAGUGGGGUAACGGCUCACCUAGGCGACGAUCCCUAGCUGGUCUGAGAGGAUGACCAGCCACACUGGAACUGAGACACGGUCCAGACUCCUACGGGAGGCAGCAGUGGGGAAUAUUGCACAAUGGGCGCAAGCCUGAUGCAGCCAUGCCGCGUGUAUGAAGAAGGCCUUCGGGUUGUAAAGUACUUUCAGCGAGGAGGAAGGUGUUGAGGUUAAUAACCUCAGCAAUUGACGUUACUCGCAGAAGAAGCACCGGCUAACUCCGUGCCAGCAGCCGCGGUAA
RNAcentral lists this ribosomal RNA (506 nucleotides) under uncultured bacterium. RNAcentral describes it as "partial 16S ribosomal RNA". It matches the Rfam family "Bacterial small subunit ribosomal RNA", at positions 30 to 523 of the family's 1533-position model. The record is from RNAcentral.